Molecule: ribosomal RNA, 502 nt
Filed under: uncultured bacterium
Lineage: Bacteria
Description: bacterial SSU rRNA
Rfam family: Bacterial small subunit ribosomal RNA
Source: RNAcentral
GAUCAUGGCUCAGGAUGAACGCUGGCGGCGUGCCUAACACAUGCAAGUCGAACGGAGUAAUUAAGCGGAAGUUUCGGAUGGAAGCAUAGUACUUAGUGGCGGACGGGUGAGUAACGCGUGGGCAACCUGCCCUGUACCGGGGGAUAACACUUAGAAAUAGGUGCUAAUACCGCAUAAGCGCACAGCUUCGCAUGAAGGUGUGUGAAAAAACUCCGGUGGUACAGGAUGGACCCGCGUCUGAUUAGCUAGUUGGUGGGGUAGAGGCCUACCAAGGCGACGAUCAGUAGCCGGCCUGAGAGGGUGACCGGCCACAUUGGGACUGAGACACGGCCCAAACUCCUACGGGAGGCAGCAGUGGGGAAUAUUGCACAAUGGGGGAAACCCUGAUGCAAGCGACGCCGCGUGAGUGAAGAAGUAUUUCGGUAUGUAAAGCUCUAUCAGCAGGGAAGAAAAUGACGGUACCUGACUAAGAAGCCCCGGCUAACUACGUGCCAGCCGCAGC